Bombus pyrosoma is the source of this 3103-nucleotide long non-coding RNA. RefSeq lists it as uncharacterized. The transcript is spliced from 3 exons. NCBI's taxonomy places the organism in Eukaryota, Metazoa, Arthropoda, Insecta, Hymenoptera, Apidae. The record is from RefSeq and is a predicted model, not a curated record.
ACCGUACAGCGACUAUUGUGUCGUCGUGUAGGAUCGAAUAGUACAGAAGCUUCGACUUAAUCGACAGUGAGGCUGGCGUGUAUGGUUUUCGCAGCUACGAGCCCUUUCAGCCCAGAUCUAUAAUUAUCAUCUAUAGUUCAACCAAUCAUCGAUCUCGACUCAAUAAAGUGCAUCGAAUUAAUUUAUCAAUAAUCCUAUUAUCUCUCCAAAUGCAAAAUCAUGGCCGUUUCAAGAGAAGGAGAAACACGACACGGAGGAGAAACACGUGAGGAUUGUUGGGAUUUGCCGCAUUGUCGCAGUGGCGCGUUUUGUUUCAAUUUUGCAGAUUGCUUCGUUUACAACGAUCGUCGACAUUCUCAUGCCGCGAAUGUUACUACUGGUCCUUAAUUAGGGACGAAAUCUGCAUAAAAGAAAUCUGAAUUAACGUUACAUAUAUUCGUGGCGAUGCAAACAAUCGGGGAUCUUGAUUGUUUGCAACUGGGAUGUAAUUCAAAGAUAUAGAAAUUAUUUCGAAGAACGUAACAAAGCCUUUUGAUAUUUAGGUGAUGCAAAUUAUAACCGAUCAAGCGUGAAAUACGAGAUUGCAUGUUGGCGUGAUUCAAUCUACCACGGAUAUUCGGAUAAAUAUGAAUUAUUAUAAAUAACACGUUUCAUAUUUCUCAGAACCUUCCAUAUGUACACGAAACGUUAUAAAUUUUCCGACUUUCCUUCCGCGAGAAUUACUUUCGACUUAUUCGAGGAAUCGGGUCAUCUGAAACGGCAAUGCAGCCACAAAAAUAAAAAUCGUGGAAUUUCGCGACUGUCUCGGUUGUUUUCAGCUCCACUGUCCCAAUCACAAACUCGACAAGACACCAAUACCUUCCACGAAAAAUUUUAACAAACUCGCAUCGGUACUCUAUUCCUUCUCCAUCCUCGACGUUUUCUGAACAAACGAAAGAGAAAAUACGUCUCGACGUGCAUCCAGGGCAAUGCAUAUCGUUAAAUUUCAUCCAUCGUAUCGAAUCUCGUCGACCGACGACGGAACGUUUCUUCGUUUUCAUCGUCGGCGUCGAUGAAAAAUCGUCGGUUAAUGGACCAAAAAUCUCUCGAAUCGAAUGUUUUGGCCAUCGAGGGUUCUACGGAGUUGAGUUGAACGGUAGGGGAGAGAUCGUGGUGAAAUCAAUUCCAACGGCGAUUGAAUUUCCGCCGAUGCUACAGAAUCAGCGGAACAUUACACGAAACAUUACGUAAAUCCGGAUAAGUUUUCGAAGCCUCUGACCGAUUACACGUGGGCCAUUCAACGAAACGAAAAGAGCCGACAAAUUUCAAUCAUCUCGCUGGACAAAGCUGAAAUUUUCUUGAUACCGAAACUUUCGAUUUAUCGCAUGUUUGUAUUACUUCCUCUACAUAUACAGCGGAUGAGAACGAAAUACGAAGAAGAAAAUUGUUCAAGUAAUUCGCAUAUCGCGUGGCGACUUAGUGCACGCUGCUGGUGCACAUCUGGAUCAAAUAUCAACCCUCUUUGAUUCGUUAUUAAAUUUUCUUUCAAUUUAGAACCAUCCAUAUUACACGUACAUCUGGUAUACUUGAAAAGAGCGCAUCGGAAAGGAUCUAUUUGUCGUCGACAGACAUAGCUAUAAAUUCGUGAUAUUUUGAGAAUAAAACCAUUUACGUCGAUGUACGCUCGGACAAAGGUAUUCGCUUCUCCAUUCCUUCAAUUCGCUGCUGUGGCAAGGUGACUUCCUCCAAUCGACUGUCACGUUUCACCGCGAGCCCUUAUCGAUCGUAUGACGGCGAGGGAGCUACAUAAUCAAAUUUACGUGCAUAAUGUUGGACACAAAGCGAGCGCGUGGAAAGGAGCAGUUGCCGAUCUGGGAUUAACGCAACAAUGGCUCGACGUAAGCAGCGCACAUGUCUCGAUGCGAUGGAACACGAAUUUCAACCUAAUAAAACGGAACUCUCUGCUUUCAGGCCCUCGGUUCGAUUCAGCGAGUUGAAGUUUUACGAUCUUCGUCGCCUUGUAACUGCGUCGGCUAACCCUGUCGAGGAAUUCGAGUCUUAAAUCGGAAUUUCAAGGUUGAACGAGUUGUUCGAUCUACAGGAAAUUAGUAGAAAAUUGCCAGGCAUUUUAUUUAUCGGUGAAUAAAAAUUGCGACUCGAUCACGAUAUGCGCGAUUGAGCAGAAUAAAUAAAAAAAAAAAAACUGUGCCAAUGGAGAAACAGUGUGGACGCGAUCAAAAAUGCCUGAAUAACUGAAAAGCAGUCGAUACAUGUAGCGCGUUACGCGCGACCGAUUUUAAUUGCGCUGAGCGGCGGAUUACACGAGUAGAAAAGCGGACCACUUUGUAUGGUCAUCGUGAUAAUAUUUAGAAUGCUAAUGAAUCCGGCAAAGUAGCAGAACGCGACGAACGUCGUUAUCACGAAUUAUAAUUCUCAUCGGCUCUUAAUUUGCUUGUUGAGUUUAUGUUUUUCUCUGGCAGUGCUAUUUGCUAUUUUUCGGCGAAAACAUUGCGUUUAUUCGUUAAUAAUUUACGUUAAUAAUUUCGUCCAUUUAUUCCGAGAAUUUAUACCCAUUUAUUCGGAGAAACGCUGUGACACGUCUAAAAUUUUGACCGACGAUUAUUCAACUGUUCCUUUUACACGAUUCUCAAGACUAGGUCUCGUGGUUCCUCUCGAUCGAGACACGCGUCGUGUCCCGGCCAAGAACAAUGCUUCGUGCAUUCCUCCGGUUUGGCACGUGUGUAAGAACACUUACACGAAACACGAAGAUGAGGCUGUAACGUGCAGAGUUAUAUAUAAACGGAGGGGCGAGAAAGGGAGAGAUCUCUCCGGUAAGAAAACGAAAAACCGGUGCAAAUAUUUACACCGUCUAUUUGAAGAGACGAUGGAACGCAUCAGCUGGGCCCAUCUCCUUGGAUACGAUGUAAUAAUUGGCGUAAUAACAGACGAUCACAACAAAAGCGAGAGACAAUCUCCACCGGAAGAGUUUCUUAUCGUCUAAAUACAAUGGUAGUCGUUUCUUGCUCGACGAUCAUCUUUCCAACGACCAAACUUUUUUCUGCGACAUCUCUGUCGUGAAAUUACACGAUCGUCGAGGUUCCUCUUUUUCUCCUUCUAUCGUCAG